Long non-coding RNA from Symsagittifera roscoffensis, 575 nucleotides. RefSeq lists it as uncharacterized. The record is from RefSeq and is a predicted model, not a curated record. NCBI's taxonomy places the organism in Eukaryota, Metazoa, Xenacoelomorpha, Acoela, Convolutidae. The transcript has 2 exons.
AUUCGGAUUAAAAAUUGAAUCAGGUAGUGCUUUUUCGAAGCCGUGCAAGCUAUCAGGCAAUCAAGAAGGGGCAACGGCGUCAGAACCAGCCAAUCAGGAAUCAAAACAAAGCGGAACAUCUGUGUUUGACAAACCAAAAGAGUAAAAGGAUCGCACUUUGUGAGCACAUUGAAUGGGAUAUGAUGCUAAAAUUCAACUUAAGAGAACCAUAAACAAAAUAACAAAUCAUUAAUUUUAUACUUUUCUUCACUUGCGUUUUGAACUGAUAAUGUAUCAAGUUUUGGAUUCUCCCCUCAUAAGCGAACAAGAAUUCUUGAACUUUCCGAGUACCAUUCGUUUUUUUGGAAACUUCUGUCCACCAGCAGUUCCUAGUUCUGAUCCCGACAUGCGCCAACAGGACCGGAGGCGGAGCAAAAAGCAGAAUGGUCCACUAGCAGAAUGAGUCCGAGAGCAGAAAAAUAGAAAAAAUUUUAACUUUUAUUGAUUUAUACGGGCUAAUUGAUAAAACAAUUGUUAAAAUCGUCAAUAAAACCAGGUAAAUGAAUGAAAGAUGCAUGAAUUGAAUAAUUUUAUCA